GGAGAGGUGACCGAGCGGCCGAAGGUGCACGCCUGGAAAGUGUGUAGGGGGUUAACGCUCCCUCGUGGGUUCAAAUCCCACCCUCUCCGCCA
RNAcentral lists this transfer RNA (92 nucleotides) under Candidatus Dadabacteria bacterium RIFCSPHIGHO2_12_FULL_53_21. Its description in RNAcentral is "tRNA-Ser". It matches the Rfam family "tRNA". From Rfam's summary of the family: Transfer RNA (tRNA) molecules are approximately 80 nucleotides in length. Their secondary structure includes four short double-helical elements and three loops (D, anti-codon, and T loops). Lineage: Bacteria; Pseudomonadati; Thermodesulfobacteriota; Candidatus Dadabacteria. RNAcentral also lists the same sequence under 3 other names. The record is from RNAcentral.